GUCCGGCCGUAUUUUUGAACAGCAUCCUCGCCAACGCACAAAUACUGUAUAUGUGGUGGGUCAGCAUCAGCUUCGUCUCCGAACCAAACAGGACGCUCCAUAGUAAAUCGAAAAUGAAGUAACCCAGACUCAUCACCAUCACUCUUUUGUGGCUGCAAGUCGUUUGGAGUUCCGGAUAAAUGAACGGAGUGCCGGGCAUCAAACACUCGCGUACCCCGAGAUAAGCCAUUAUCAAGCCGUGGACGAAGGUUAGAAUUCUGCAGGUGAACUCCUGCGGUUUGUUAGGGAGCAGCAGGCGCAGGAUUCCGUACGAUGUGCACCAGAAGGCCGUACUGGCGAUUAUGACCUCGUACGAGUCGUACUGGAUGGUGCUUUUUGGAUGGAAUUUUGAUGGUUUCAUUGUGUUAAGGCAUUUUUAUAUUCACUGUCACUUUUAUGCUGAUACACGUCACUUUUUGAUAUUUACUGUUUAUAUUAAAAGUUUAUUUUUAUAUAUUAUACAUAAUCAACGUUUUGCAGUAACUACUAAUAUUGUGGCUAGCAGAUAUGGUACUGUUAUAUGAUAACGUUGAAUUUUACUGGUUUUCUAAUUUGCCUUUUAUUAUCUGUUAUAUUAAAAUAAAUAAAGUUUAAUCAUUAUGCAAAUGAGGCGAAUACCAUUUUCCUCUCUUAAUAAUUUGAGUCAUAUUUAAUAAACAAUUAAAAUUUAUAUAGAUACAUUGUUUUUUGAUAUUGUCACAUUCGGUCAUGCGAAUGUCAUUUCGACAUUAAAGAAAAUAAGUCAGCGGUCUUACGUACUUUUCAGGUUGUAUUAUAAUAAAUAAAAUAAUGCCACGUCCAGAUUUUGAAACCGAGAUGGCAGCUUCAACACUUAUUACAUACAAAAAAUCAAGGAAAAGUACUAAGAAAUAUGUUUUUAUUAAAAUAUGGAAAUUUACAGUCAAUUUCUGUGACAUGUUAGGAUUACUGGACAUAUUACCUUGUGGCACAAUACAUUCGAUUAAGCCAUAUAUUAAUUACGGCAUCAAUAUUGAAAAAUUGUAAAAAUGUAACAUUUUUGACUGAAUAAAUGUAUAUAAGUUUUUAGAUUCAAA
Aethina tumida (small hive beetle) is the source of this 1094-nucleotide long non-coding RNA. RefSeq lists it as uncharacterized. The record is from RefSeq and is a predicted model, not a curated record. The transcript has 2 exons. Lineage: Eukaryota; Metazoa; Arthropoda; Insecta; Coleoptera; Nitidulidae.